UACAGGACGAACGCUGGCGGCGUGCUUCAUACAUGCAAGUCGAACGAUAAGGUCCUUCGGGAAUACAUAAGUGGCGGACGGGUGAGUAAUAUGUAGAGAAUCUGCCCUGAAGAGGGGGACAACAGAGGGAAACUUCUGCUAAUACCCCAUAUGCGCGUAGUUGAGAUACUAUUCGUGAAAGAUUUAUCGCUUCAGGAUGAGUCUGCAUCUGAUUAGCUAGUUGGGGGUGUAAUGGACCACCAAGGCGACGAUCAGUAGCUGGUUUGAGAGGAUGAUCAGCCACAAUGGGACUGAGACACGGCCCAUACUCCUACGGGAGGCAGCAGUAGGGAAUUUUGCGCAAUGGGCGAAAGCCUGACGCAGCAACGCCCGCGUGAUCGCAGACGGCCUUCGGGUUGUAAAGAUCUGUCAGCAGGGACGAACAAUGACUGUACCUGCAGAGGAAGCACCGGCUAACUCCGUGCCAGCCGCCGC
This 474-nucleotide ribosomal RNA is filed under the name uncultured bacterium. RNAcentral's name for it is "bacterial SSU rRNA". It matches the Rfam family "Bacterial small subunit ribosomal RNA", at positions 26 to 518 of the family's 1533-position model. The record is from RNAcentral.